GCGGUUGUAGCAAAAUUGGUAAUGCAACGAUUUGUGGCAUCGUUAUUGUAGGUUCGAAUCCUUCCAGCCGCGCCA
Molecule: transfer RNA, 75 nt
Filed under: Bacilli bacterium PM5-3
Lineage: Bacteria; Bacillati; Bacillota; Bacilli
Also listed under: 1 other name
Description: tRNA-His
Rfam family: tRNA
About the family: Transfer RNA (tRNA) molecules are approximately 80 nucleotides in length. Their secondary structure includes four short double-helical elements and three loops (D, anti-codon, and T loops). Further hydrogen bonds mediate the characteristic L-shaped molecular structure. tRNAs have two regions of fundamental functional importance: the anti-codon, which is responsible for specific mRNA codon recognition, and the 3' end, to which the tRNAs corresponding amino acid is attached (by aminoacyl-tRNA synthetases). tRNAs cope with the degeneracy of the genetic code in two manners: having more than one tRNA (with a specific anti-codon) for a particular amino acid; and 'wobble' base-pairing, i.e. permitting non-standard base-pairing at the 3rd anti-codon position.
Source: RNAcentral